AAUGCAGUUCUGCUAGUGAUGAACUCUGUCAGCUAUUAUUUGUUUUGCAUGCCAGUUGGCUUUUGAGUGGGACAGUUGUUACAGUGAGAGCAGUGACAUUGGAAACCACUAUUGCCUAUUUGAAUUACUUGAAACGCGACCAUGAAAAAAACUACCUGUGAUUUGCUUUCUCGAAGCAAAAGUGCCUCUGAAGAAACCCUGAAUUCCAGUAAUGAAGAAGACCCUUUACGCGGGAUGGAGCCCUAUCUUG
Suncus etruscus (white-toothed pygmy shrew) is the source of this 250-nucleotide long non-coding RNA. RefSeq lists it as uncharacterized. The transcript has 3 exons. The record is from RefSeq and is a predicted model, not a curated record. Lineage: Eukaryota; Metazoa; Chordata; Mammalia; Eulipotyphla; Soricidae.